UCAGAAAGUCCCCCUCAGAAAGCCUGUGAUGAGAUGUGGGGGACUUGGCAGUCUUACUGGGGAAGCAAAAUAAUCGAUCUGAGUUUGUUAGCACAUUGCAACUUGUUACAAGUGAGAAACUGGACACAUCCACAGAAAGAAUAGAGCAAGAGGAGACAAGGCACCUUCCCAGAAGAGUAACAAUCCAAAGUUUACACUUCCAGUGAAAUGCUGCCUGAGAAGUGCUGGAUAUAAAAAGGCGACUCGAGUGCCUCUGUGAUGACACACCGAUUGCUG
Molecule: long non-coding RNA, 276 nt
Organism: Manacus vitellinus (golden-collared manakin)
Lineage: Eukaryota; Metazoa; Chordata; Aves; Passeriformes; Pipridae
Exons: 3
Source: RefSeq, a predicted model, not a curated record